GAUGAACGCUGGCGGCGUGCCUAAUACAUGCAAGUCGAGCGAACGGACGAGAAUCUUGCUUCUCUGAUGUUAGCGGCGGACGGGUGAGUCACACGUGGAUAACCUACCUAUAAGACUGGGAUAACUUCGGGAAACCGGAUCUAAUACCGGAUGAUAUUUUGAACCGCAUGGUUCAAAAGUGAAAGACGGUCUUGCUGUCACUUAUAGAUGGAUCCGCGCUGCAUUAGCUAGUUGGUAAGGUAACGGCUUACCAAGGCAACGAUGCAUAGCCGACCUGAGAGGGUGAUCGGCCACACUGGAACUGAGACACGGUCCAGACUCCUACGGGAGGCAGCAGUAGGGAAUCUUCCGCAAUGGGCGAAAGCCUGACGGAGCAACGCCGCGUGAGUGAUGAAGGUCUUCGGAUCGUAAAACUCUGUUAUUAGGGAAGAACAUAUGUGUAAGUAACUGUGCACAUCUUGACGGUACCUAAUCAGAAAGCCACGGCUAACUACGUG
RNAcentral lists this ribosomal RNA (497 nucleotides) under uncultured bacterium. Its description in RNAcentral is "partial 16S ribosomal RNA". It matches the Rfam family "Bacterial small subunit ribosomal RNA", at positions 28 to 507 of the family's 1533-position model. The record is from RNAcentral.